GAAAUGUUACGUAAGAAUCGAUGGUGAAAUUUAUCACUACGACUGGAUGCCAGGAGACGAUUGUUCACACCAAUUCUUCAUCUUUUUCCUUUUUUUUUCGUGUCCUAACGUAAAAUAUUCAUUUUUUCAGGCAACAACGACGAGAUAGCGACGAUGAAUUUUUUAAAGCAGCAGUGGGGGGCGGUGGUCGCCCGGGAUUUAUUAAGAAGGCGUCGGAAAAAGUCAUCAGCAAAACGGCUCCAAUUUCCAAAGCCUGAUAAUCCGCCAGCCGCCUCAUGAACCAUGCCCAUCACAUGGCCGCAAUUCAAUUCAACAGAAUGGAGUGUUACCGUCAGUUGGGGACAGUUUUGAACUUUGAACUUUUGUUUGAGUGUGAAAUAAUAAAUUGUU
Non-coding RNA from Bemisia tabaci, 390 nucleotides. The record is from RefSeq and is a predicted model, not a curated record. Lineage: Eukaryota; Metazoa; Arthropoda; Insecta; Hemiptera; Aleyrodidae.